UAGUCACGUAGGACUACUCAGUCAGUAGCCUCGACAAAUCGGAGUGCGCCGCGUGGCAAGACAUGCUGAUCGAUGCCACGCGGGAGGCCAUGCUGGCGAUCGGCGUGUCCUACGAUUGGAUGACCCAGAAGCGAUCUCGUGCGUAUGAACGGUCUGGAUCUGUUUCUCCCUUAGGCGUGAUUAGACGGUCGAAAUCAAACGCGAUAAACGAUCUAGAUUUAUUUCUUCUUUAGGCACGAUCGAACAGUCGAGAUCAAAUGCGAUGAAUGGUUCAGAUUUAUAAUGACCCCGGAAAUAAAAAUGAAGAUGUAUGUAUUAAAAAUUCUAAGUGCGGAAGCGAAAUAAAAAUUCUGAUUUACAUCCCUUACACAAUAACCAUAAACAUAUUGAACUUAUGAAAGAAUAAGCUAAUUAAAAGAAAUACUCGAAAUGAAAACUAUAAAUAGAACUAUAAAAUCUUUAGCUGUCUAACUCGCCGUC
This 480-nucleotide long non-coding RNA is filed under the name Carica papaya (papaya). RNAcentral describes it as "long non-coding RNA (CPAP_LNC016135)". Lineage: Eukaryota; Viridiplantae; Streptophyta; Magnoliopsida; Brassicales; Caricaceae. The record is from RNAcentral.